RNAcentral lists this ribosomal RNA (492 nucleotides) under uncultured bacterium. RNAcentral describes it as "partial 16S ribosomal RNA". It matches the Rfam family "Bacterial small subunit ribosomal RNA", at positions 29 to 507 of the family's 1533-position model. The record is from RNAcentral.
AGUGAACGCUGGCGGUAGGCCUAACACAUGCAAGUCGAACGGCAGCACAGUAAGAGCUUGCUCUUACGGGUGGCGAGUGGCGGACGGGUGAGGAAUACAUCGGAAUCUACUUUUUCGUGGGGGAUAACGUAGGGAAACUUACGCUAAUACCGCAUACGACCUACGGGUGAAAGCAGUGGAUCUUCGCACCUUGCGCGAUUGAAUGAGCCGAUGUCGGAUUAGCUAGUUGGCGGGGUAAAGGCCCACCAAGGCGACGAUCCGUAGCUGGUCUGAGAGGAUGAUCAGCCACACUGGAACUGAGACACGGUCCAGACUCCUACGGGAGGCAGCAGUGGGGAAUAUUGGACAAUGGGCGCAAGCCUGAUCCAGCAAUACCGCGUGGGUGAAGAAGGCCUUCGGGUUGUAAAGCCCUUUUGUUGGGAAAGAAAAGCAGCAGGUUAAUACCCCGAUGUUCUGACGGUACCCAAAGAAUAAGCACCGGCUAACUUCGUG